RNAcentral lists this ribosomal RNA (494 nucleotides) under uncultured bacterium. RNAcentral's name for it is "bacterial SSU rRNA". It matches the Rfam family "Bacterial small subunit ribosomal RNA", at positions 30 to 517 of the family's 1533-position model. The record is from RNAcentral.
AUUGAACGCUGGCGGAAUGCUUUACACAUGCAAGUCGAACGGCAGCACGGACUUCGGUCUGGUGGCGAGUGGCGAACGGGUGAGUAAUGUAUCGGAACGUGCCCAGUCGUGGGGGAUAACGUAGUGAAAAUUACGCUAAUACCGCAUACGAUCUAUGGAUGAAAGCGGGGGAUCGCAAGACCUCGCGCGAUUGGAGCGGCCGAUAUCAGAUUAGGUAGUUGGUGGGGUAAAGGCCCACCAAGCCAACGAUCUGUAGCUGGUCUGAGAGGACGACCAGCCACACUGGAACUGAGACACGGUCCAGACUCCUACGGGAGGCAGCAGUGGGGAAUUUUGGACAAUGGGCGAAAGCCUGAUCCAGCCAUUCCGCGUGCAGGAUGAAGGCCCUCGGGUUGUAAACUGCUUUUGUACAGAACGAAAAGGUUUCUACUAAUACUAGGAGCUCAUGACGGUACUGUAAGAAUAAGCACCGGCUAACUACGUGCCAGCAGCCG